RNAcentral lists this ribosomal RNA (397 nucleotides) under uncultured bacterium. RNAcentral describes it as "partial 16S ribosomal RNA". It matches the Rfam family "Bacterial small subunit ribosomal RNA", at positions 523 to 918 of the family's 1533-position model. The record is from RNAcentral.
AUACGUAGGUGACAAGCGUUAUCCGGAUUUACUGGGUGUAAAGGGCGUGUAGGCGGUUUAGCAAGUCAGAAGUGAAAUUCCCGGGCUUAACUUGGGCGCUGCUUCUGAAACUGCUUUACUUGAGUGCUGGAGAGGAUAGUGGAAUUCCUAGUGUAGCGGUAAAAUGCGCAGAUAUUAGGAGGAACACCGGUGGCGAAGGCGGCUAUCUGGACAGUAACUGACGCUGAGGCGCGAAAGCACGGGGAGCAAACAGGAUUAGAUACCCUGGUAGUCCGUGCCGUAAACGAUGAAUACUAGGUGUAGGGGGUAUCGACUCCCUCUGUGCCGCAGUUAACACAUUAAGUAUUCCGCCUGGGGAGUACGGCCGCAAGGUUGAAACUCAAAUGAAUUGACGGGG